Molecule: ribosomal RNA, 434 nt
Filed under: uncultured bacterium
Lineage: Bacteria
Description: partial 16S ribosomal RNA
Rfam family: Bacterial small subunit ribosomal RNA
Source: RNAcentral
ACGGAAGGCAGCAGUGGGGGAUAUUGCACAAUGGGGGAAACCCUGAUGCAGCGACGCCGCGUGAGUGAUGAAGUAUUUCGGUAUGUAAAGCUCUAUCAGCAGGGAAGAUAAUGACGGUACCUGACUAAGAAGCACCGGCUAAAUACGUGCCAGCAGCCGCGGUAAUACGUAUGGUGCAAGCGUUAUCCAGAUUUACUGGGUGUAAAGGGUGCGUAGGUGGCAGGGCAAGUCAGAUGUGAAAGACCGGGGCUCAACUCCGGGGCUGCAUUUGAAACUGUCUUGCUGGAGUGCAGGAGGGGCAAGCGGAAUUCCUAGUGUAGCGGUGAAAUGCGUAGAUAUUAGGAGGAACACCAGUGGCGAAGGCGGCCUACUGGACGACAACUGACGCUGAGGCUCGAAAGCGUGGGGAGCAAACAGGAUUAGAUACCCUGGUA